Molecule: ribosomal RNA, 404 nt
Filed under: uncultured Clostridium sp.
Lineage: Bacteria; Bacillati; Bacillota; Clostridia; Eubacteriales; Clostridiaceae
Description: bacterial SSU rRNA
Rfam family: Bacterial small subunit ribosomal RNA
Source: RNAcentral
UGGGGAAUAUUGCACAAUGGGCGAAAGCCUGAUGCAGCAACGCCGCGUGAGUGAUGAAGGUUUUCGGAUUGUAAAGCUCUGUCAUAUGGGACGAUAGUGACGGUACCAUAUGAGGAAGCCACGGCUAACUACGUGCCAGCAGCCGCGGUAAUACGUAGGUGGCAAGCGUUGUCCGGAAUUACUGGGCGUAAAGGGUGCGCAGGCGGACAUUUAAGUGAGAUGUGAAAGACCCGGGCUUAACUUGGGCAGGGCAUUUCAAACUGGGUGUCUUGAGUGCAGGAGAGGAGAACGGAAUUCCUAGUGUAGCGGUGAAAUGCGUAGAGAUUAGGAAGAACACCAGUGGCGAAGGCGGUUCUCUGGACUGUAACUGACGCUGAGGCACGAAAGCGUGGGUAGCAAACAGG